UGUACCUCGGGGCGCAGCAGUAGGGAAUCUUCCACAAUGGGCGAAAGCCUGAUGGAGCAACGCCGCGUGGGUGAAGAAGGUCUUCGGAUCGUAAAACCCUGUUGUUAGAGAAGAAAGUGCGUGAGAGUAACUGUUCACGUUUCGACGGUAUCUAACCAGAAAGCCACGACUAACUACGUGCCAGCAGCCGCGGUAAUACGUAGGUGGCAAGCGUUAUCCGGAUUUAUUGGGCGUAAAGCGAGUGCAGGCGG
RNAcentral lists this ribosomal RNA (251 nucleotides) under uncultured bacterium. Its description in RNAcentral is "partial 16S ribosomal RNA". It matches the Rfam family "Bacterial small subunit ribosomal RNA", at positions 335 to 578 of the family's 1533-position model. The record is from RNAcentral.